Molecule: ribosomal RNA, 264 nt
Filed under: uncultured archaeon
Lineage: Archaea
Description: partial 16S ribosomal RNA
Rfam family: Archaeal small subunit ribosomal RNA
Source: RNAcentral
ACACGACUACAUUAGAUACCCCGGUAGUCCCAGCCCUAAACGAUGCGCGUUAGGUGUAUCGGUGACCACGAGUCACCGAGGUGCCGAAGGGAAACCGUGAAACGUGCCGCCUGGGAAGUACGGUCGCAAGGCUGAAACUUAAAGGAAUUGGCGGGGAGCACCACAACGGGUGGAGCUUGCGGUUUAAUUGGAUUCAACGCCGGAAAUCUCAUCGGGAGCGACAGCAGUAUGAUUGCCAGGUUGAUGACCUUGCUUGACAAGCUG